GUGACUGCGUACCUUUUGUAUAAUGGGUCAGCGACUUAUAUUCUGUAGCAAGGUUAACCGUAUAGGGGAGCCGAAGGGAAACCGAGUCUUAACUGGGCGUUAAGUUGCAGGGUAUAGACCCGAAACCCGGUGAUCUAGCCAUGGGCAGGUUGAAGGUUGGGUAACACUAACUGGAGGACCGAACCGACUAAUGUUGAAAAAUUAGCGGAUGACCUGUGGCUGGGGGUGAAAGGCCAAUCAAACCGGGAGAUAGCUGGUUCUCCCCGAAAGCUAUUUAGGUAGCGCCUCGUGAA
This 293-nucleotide ribosomal RNA is filed under the name Enterobacter hormaechei. Its description in RNAcentral is "partial 23S ribosomal RNA". It matches the Rfam family "Bacterial large subunit ribosomal RNA", at positions 593 to 888 of the family's 2925-position model. Lineage: Bacteria; Pseudomonadati; Pseudomonadota; Gammaproteobacteria; Enterobacterales; Enterobacteriaceae. RNAcentral also lists the same sequence under 1 other name. The record is from RNAcentral.